This 216-nucleotide long non-coding RNA is filed under the name Theobroma cacao (cacao). RNAcentral describes it as "long non-coding RNA (TCAC_LNC006203)". Lineage: Eukaryota; Viridiplantae; Streptophyta; Magnoliopsida; Malvales; Malvaceae. The record is from RNAcentral.
UGGAGACCAACCUUUGAUGUUGCUUAUAUAUUUAAGUUUACGUACCUAUGUUUGGAGUUGAUGAUUUAUGAACUGAUACGUGAUGACAUAUGUGGCUGGGAUUUUGGGUUGUGAAAUAUAUAAACUGUUUGUUUUCCUUUGACAGGCUGGGUAGUAUUAUGUUAGCCACGUUAUGCUGUCAAAAUUUUAUUGAUUGGUGGGUUAUUUAAUUAGCCA